This 619-nucleotide long non-coding RNA is filed under the name Ananas comosus (pineapple). Its description in RNAcentral is "long non-coding RNA (ACOM_LNC003567)". The record is from RNAcentral. Lineage: Eukaryota; Viridiplantae; Streptophyta; Magnoliopsida; Poales; Bromeliaceae.
AAGGGGCAAUUGCCUAUAUACCCCUGAAAAGUUCCCGAUUUUCUUAUUUACCCCUCUUAGAAGGCUAAUAUUGAAAAUACCCUUCUUAUGUUCCAAGUUCUUUCUAAUUUACCCCUGCAGUUAAAUUCCGUCAGUGAGGUGCUAACAGUUGCCGUUAUCCCUGCAAAAUUACCAUUUUGCCCAUUCCAAUNAUAUAUAUAUAUAUAUAUAUAUAUAUGGGGCAAUUUCCUAUAUACCGUUGAAAAGUUUUCGGUUUUCUUAUUUACCCCGCUUAGAAGGCUAAUAUUGAAAAUACCCUUCUUAUGUUCCAAGUUCUUUCUAAUUUACCCCUGCAGUUAAAUUCCGUCAGUGAGGUGGUAACAGUUGCCGUUAUCCCUGCAAAAUUACCAUUUUGCCCAUUCCAAUAUACCCUCGUACCAUAACUUACUUUUCUUAUAUGCCCUCCAUGUAGCUAAUACUUUUCUUAUUUGCCCUUAAAAUAUCAAAUUCGUUUCCUAUUUGCCCUCCAACGGUCAUUUCAACGGUAACCUUCUUUUCAAACAUUAUAAAAGCACAUCCAUGGCUCAAAAACAAGUUAAGCUUACUUCUCCAUCUAUUAGCUUUUUUUUUUCUCUUAUUU